RNAcentral lists this non-coding RNA (18 nucleotides) under Arabidopsis thaliana (thale cress). The record is from RNAcentral. Lineage: Eukaryota; Viridiplantae; Streptophyta; Magnoliopsida; Brassicales; Brassicaceae.
GGUAGUUCAAGUAUUCCA